This is a long non-coding RNA of Oncorhynchus mykiss (rainbow trout), 660 nucleotides long. RefSeq lists it as uncharacterized. NCBI's taxonomy places the organism in Eukaryota, Metazoa, Chordata, Actinopteri, Salmoniformes, Salmonidae. The record is from RefSeq and is a predicted model, not a curated record.
ACUCAGACUUCGCAUAUGGAAGAAACUAACAGAGAAUAUUGGUUGGUUCCACAGGCUAUUAUUAGCCAUGAUCACCACAGAGGCUGACGUUUUACCUUACGUUAACAGGAUGUGCAAAGGGGGUUUCAAUUACGUUUGGCACAGCACUUAAGAGCUAACAGGCUGCAGAGGCUGUGUUAGCUAGCUACAUUACUUGCAAGAAAGUAAAAUAAGAAUACAACAUACUUUUGAAAAAAGCGGGAAUACAGAGAUGAGUAAAAGGAAAGCGCCACAGGAAUCCCCAAACAAGGGAAUAACAGACUUUCUUACAGAAGUGCUGGGUUUACAGUAGGGCUGCCUAAUUGCCCUCCUAAGAAAAGUAUCUGACUGAAGUUCUCCCUGCCGGUCUGUAUCAUCGAUGCUCCUUCUGCUCAAGCUACUGCUACUGACUGCCUUUCCCAAAUGCCUCUACAUCUGAAGCUGUGAAAGACCAUCAACCAUGAACUGCCAGAUCCCUACAUUUGUUUUCAAAGCAAAUAAGAUUAUUGUUUGUAAUGUAAAGCGCUAGAUACAAUAAAUGUAUUAUUAUUAUACAUUCAGUAGUAGGCCAUUGGUAGUCAAGCACUAAAAAAUGCAACCUGCUUAGUGUCACAGGAGAAAUAAAUCACUUCAUUUUACAAA